Molecule: long non-coding RNA, 408 nt
Organism: Leptopilina boulardi
Lineage: Eukaryota; Metazoa; Arthropoda; Insecta; Hymenoptera; Figitidae
Exons: 2
Source: RefSeq, a predicted model, not a curated record
UUUUUUUUUGCUUUAAAUAGUUCCUUAGGGUCUCAGAAAUAACAUAUUGCAGGAUUAUGGCUCGGAAAAAUCUCUAAAUAAUUUAUUUUCGAAGUUCCUUGCAAGGCUGCACGGUACGCGGCGAGCUCAUUUUGUCAGUUCUACGGGGGGUGAUCUUUGAAGGAUCUACAGCAGGUAUACGGCAGAUGUUUUCAAAGGCGCUAGUUACUUGCUAGACUAUAGUGGUCAAUUAUAUGGUGCAGGCAUUGCAGAUUAAAGGAGCAGUUAGUUCGGCCACGUACCCCUUGAACCAUAGAGGAGUCGAAGGACGACCGCUACAGCGCCACCAUUCUUCAAGAAAUAUUUAUAAGAAAUUAUUUUUUUACACCUAAAAAGAUGUAUAAUAAACUUCUUAUAUUAUAUUUUUAA